GUAAGCUCUCUUGCGGCAAAAAGUCCAUAAUAUGUCACUUAUCGAUACAGGUGGGUUACUAUAUGAACAAUAUUUGUCAAAAAUAUCCAUUAUUUAAUAACAACCAAUAUUGACGUAUCUAACAGUUUGGCAAAUGGUGCGGUGGGGAAACUAGUUUUUAAAAAAUUUAUUGUGUAUUUAUGAUAUGUAUAUUAAUAGCUACAAGCAAUUUAUUUUAUGAUUAAUAAUAAACAUAGAUAUGCUUAAAAAAUAUUUUUAAAUAUUAUUAUUUUUUUUUUUUGAUAAAUGAGACCACUCCGUCCAACGUAAUGAAGGGUGGCCAAUUUUUAAAUGCCUACAGGCGGAAAAUUUGUGAAUACGCUCCUGGGUGGGACACGUGAAGAGAAGAGUCUGGUGUGCUUGACAACAAGAGAAUCACGAUGAGACCAAAAGAUUAGUGUUCGGGCUCAAUGACCGAAAUCGUUCACGACGUAUGGUUUAGAGUAUCGUACAGUUGACUGAGAAAAUAGAGCAUAGAACAAGUGUAGCAUGGCAAAAUAGCUUAAACGGAUGAGUAAGAGAGGGGGAUGAAUAAAGAAAUCAGAUAACUGAUGCGUAGAUGUUGUGGGGGUAGAUCCGUGUCACGUGUUAGUAGUUUGGGAUAAGAGUGGGCCACACCUAGUAGUUGAGAUGAAGGCAAGAAAAAUAAAGAAGAAGAAGAUGGAUAUCUAAUAGUAAUUAAAUUAAAUUUGACUGACGUAAAAAGGUUAUGAUGCGUAUUUAAAAAAAAAGUCUAUUAAAAAUUACUGCAUGUUUGAUAACUUUUAGAAAACAAGUUACCGGAAUGUUUUUCUUUUAUUAAUGCGGAUUUUAUUUUUUUACUCCAUUUGAUUGAACCAUCUUGAUUAAAUGGUUUUUCGCUUUGUGUACAUUUUUAUACUUUUUAUUUGUGGUUAGUUAAUUAGUGUAUUAAUAAAAUUAUAAACAUUUAAAAUAGAAGGGAAAUGAAGAAAGAAAUAAAACAAACAAUGUAACGACCAGGAAGUAAAUAUUUAUAAACAUUUUUGAAAAUGAUUGUAUUAUGAAGUUUGUAAAAAAAGAAAAACAAAAUAUUUUGGUAUAUAAGACGAAGUGGAAUUAAUUGAACGGAAGAGAAGACUUCGGGAGUAAUGAAGGAGGAGUUCGUCUACUCAAAAGAAGGAAUCGAAGCUGACCGUUUGAUUUCACAAAAAAUGAGUUAUCAUUAGAAGAAAAAUUAGAUUGCCAUUUCCAUGAUUUUUCCCACCAC
This is a long non-coding RNA of Daktulosphaira vitifoliae (grape phylloxera), 1267 nucleotides long. RefSeq lists it as uncharacterized. NCBI's taxonomy places the organism in Eukaryota, Metazoa, Arthropoda, Insecta, Hemiptera, Phylloxeridae. The transcript is spliced from 3 exons. The record is from RefSeq and is a predicted model, not a curated record.